Micropterus dolomieu (smallmouth bass) is the source of this 288-nucleotide long non-coding RNA. RefSeq lists it as uncharacterized. The transcript has 2 exons. The record is from RefSeq and is a predicted model, not a curated record. NCBI's taxonomy places the organism in Eukaryota, Metazoa, Chordata, Actinopteri, Centrarchiformes, Centrarchidae.
AUUUGCGUUACUUUGAGCUACUUUUAAUUUAAUGGCUGCAUUAUUCUGAUGGUUCACUCACCCCAUUCAGUCGGUUGGGCUCAUCCUCUGGUCCUCUCCUCCCCGGACUUCCCCCACGGCGUCCUCCCAGUUCCCCCCUCACCUCCUCGCUUCCUCGGCCCCAGUGUUCCCCGGCUCCCUGGUCCCAGUCUCGUUGGUUUCCCUGUGCCAGUGUUUCCCUGGCAUCCACAUCUCCCUCCACUCCAGUCCCUCAACCCCUUUUCCCUCAAUAAACCUCCUUCGCUCUGA